AUCCCAUUGUGAGGACAUUUCCUUAACAGCUCCUUGAAUCUUUCUUAAGCAUCAAACAAUGACCCAUCACCUCCUUGUCUAAAUGAAGUAAUCUCAUUCCUCAUCUU
Molecule: small nucleolar RNA, 107 nt
Organism: Lathyrus oleraceus (garden pea)
Lineage: Eukaryota; Viridiplantae; Streptophyta; Magnoliopsida; Fabales; Fabaceae
Source: RefSeq, a predicted model, not a curated record